CAUGAAGCUGGAAUCGCUAGUAAUCGCGGAUCAGAAUGCCGCGGUGAAUACGUUCCCGGGUCUUGUACACACCGCCCGUCACACCAUGGGAGUCGGAAAUGCCCGAAGUCUGUGACCCAACCUGAAAGGGAGGGAGCAGCCGAAGGCAGGUCGGAUGACUGGGGUGAAGUCGUAACAAGGUACC
Molecule: ribosomal RNA, 184 nt
Filed under: uncultured bacterium
Lineage: Bacteria
Description: partial 16S ribosomal RNA
Rfam family: Bacterial small subunit ribosomal RNA
Source: RNAcentral